GUCUGCGACCGGAACGUAUUUAUUAGAUAUUAGACCAAUCGGAGCAAUCUGAUUGAGAUGAAUCAAAGUAACUGAUCGAAUCGCAGCUUGCUGCGAUAAAUCAUCUAAGUUUCUGCCCUAUCAGCUCUCGAUGGUAGUGUAUUGGACUACCAUGGCAGUCACGGGUAACGGAGAAUUAGGGUUCGAUUCCGGAGAAGGAGCCUGAGAAACGGCUACUACAACUACGGUUCGGCAGCAGGGAAGAAAAUUGGCCAAUCCUAAUUCAGGGAGCCAGUGACAAGAAAUAGCAAGCUGGGAAACUUAGUUUCUACGGCAUUGAAAUGAGAAAAGUGUAAAUCUCUUAGCGAGGAACAAUUGGAGGGCAAGUCAUGGUGCCAGCAGCCGCGGUAAUUCCAGCUCCAAUAGCGUAUAUUAAAGUUGUUGCAGUUAAAAAGCUCGUAGUUGAACUUCUAUUCAGGUUCAUUUCGACUCGUCGAGUGAAACUGGAUAUACGUUUGCAAACUAAAAUCGGCCUUCACUGGUUCGACUUAGGGAGUAAACAUUUUACUGUGAAAAAAUUAGAGUGUUUCAGGCAGGUUUUAGCCCGAAUACAUUAGCAUGGAAUAAUGGAAUAGGACUAAGUCCAUUUUAUUGGUUCUUGGAUUUGGUAAUGAUUAAUAGGGACAGUUGGGGGCAUUAGUAUUUAAUAGUCAGAGGUGAAAUUCUUGGAUUUAUUAAGGACUAACUAAUGCGAAAGCAUUUGCCAAAGAUGUUUUCAUUAAUCAAGAACGAAAGUUAGGGGAUCAAAGACGAUCAGAUACCGUCGUAGUCUUAACUAUAAACUAUACCGACUCGGGAUCGGCAGGAAUAUAUGUCCUGUCGGCACCGUAUGAGAAAUCAAAGUCUUUGGGUUCUGGGGGAAGUAUGGUACGCAAGUCUGAAACUUAAAGGAAUUGACGGAACAGCACACCAGAAGUGGAACCUGCGGCUUAAUUUGACUCAACACGGGGAAACUCACGAGCGCAAGACAGAGAAGGGAUUGACAGAUUGAGAGCUCUUUCUUGAUUCUUUGGGUGGUGGUGCAUGGCCGUUCUUAGUUGGUGGAGUGAUUUGUCUGGUUAAUUCCGUUAACGAACGAGACCUUAACCUGCUAACUAGUCUGCCUGUGAACAACAGGUUGUACUUCUUAGAGGGACUAUUGUGCAAGAAGCCAAUGGAAGUUUAAGGCAAUAACAGGUCUGUGAUGCCCCUAGACGUGCUCGGCCGCACGCGCGUUACAAUGACUGGCGCAGAAAGUAUUUCCUGUCCUGGGAAGGUACGGGUAAUCUUAUUAAUACCAGUCGUGUUAGGGAUAGUUCUUUGGAAUUGUGGAUCUUGAACGAGGAAUUUCUAGUAAGUGCAAGUCAUCAG
RNAcentral lists this ribosomal RNA (1389 nucleotides) under Tetrahymena eicheli. Its description in RNAcentral is "SSU rRNA". It matches the Rfam family "Eukaryotic small subunit ribosomal RNA", at positions 186 to 1634 of the family's 1831-position model. The record is from RNAcentral. Lineage: Eukaryota; Ciliophora; Oligohymenophorea; Hymenostomatida; Tetrahymenidae.